ACUGUGGCUCUAACUUUGACAGCUGUUCCUGUUCCAGCUCCUGUAAAUACUAUAAAGACUGUUGCCAUGACUACUAUGAUUUUUGCCACAUCUUUGCUAUAACACCUGAAGUGAAAACAACAGUGCAUGCUGGUACAGGAGCUCCAUGUGGUGGAAAUCUGACUAAGCCAAGAGGAGAAUUUUUUAGUCCCCAGUAUCCUAAUAACUACCCUAACAAAGCAGAUUGCACAUGGAGAGUUCUGGCGCCAGAGAGACA
This is a long non-coding RNA of Pygocentrus nattereri (red-bellied piranha), 256 nucleotides long. RefSeq lists it as uncharacterized. The transcript is spliced from 3 exons. The record is from RefSeq and is a predicted model, not a curated record. Lineage: Eukaryota; Metazoa; Chordata; Actinopteri; Characiformes; Serrasalmidae.